This 467-nucleotide ribosomal RNA is filed under the name uncultured bacterium. RNAcentral describes it as "partial 16S ribosomal RNA". It matches the Rfam family "Bacterial small subunit ribosomal RNA", at positions 28 to 507 of the family's 1533-position model. The record is from RNAcentral.
GACGAACGCUGGCGGCGUGCUUAACGCAUGCAAGUCGAACGGACAGGCCCUGCUCUUGCGGGGUGCUCGUGUGGCGAACGGGUGAGUAACACGUGAGUAACCUGCCCCUGACUUUGGGAUAACUUCAGGAAACGGGGGCUAAUAUCGGAUAGGAGCUCCUGAUGCAUGGUGGGGGAUGGAAAGUUGCGGCGGUUGGGGAUGGUCUCGAGGUUUCUCAGCUUGUUGAGGGGGAGUGGCUUACCACGGCUUUGCCGGGUAGCCGGCCUGAGAGGGCGACCGGGCACAUGGGGACUAAGAUACGGCCCAGACUGCAACGGGAGGCAGCAGUGGGAAACAUUGCAGAGUGGGCGGAAGCCAGAUGCAGCAACGCCGCGUGCGGGAUGACGGCCUUCGAGUUGUAAACCUCUUUCGCCUGUAACGAAGCGUGAUUGACGGUAAUGAGUAAAGAAGCACCGGCUAACUACGUG